CCCCUAGAUGUUCUGGGCCGCACGCGCGCUACACUGAACAGUUCAACAAGUCUUAACCUUGGCCGAUAGGUCUGGGUAAUCUUUGAACGCUGUUCGUGAUUGGGAUAGACCUUUGCAAUUAUGGGUCUUCAACGAGGAAUUCCUAGUAAACGCAAGUCAUCAGCUUGCAUUGAUUACGUCCCUGCCCUUUGUACACACCGCCCGUCGCUCCUACCGAUUGAAUGAUCCGGUGAGGCCCCCGGACUGUGGCAACGGCUUUGGUUCGCCAAACUGAUGCCGCGGGAAGCUGUCCAAACCUUAUCAUUUAGAGGAAGGAGAAGUCGUAACA
Molecule: ribosomal RNA, 328 nt
Filed under: uncultured eukaryote
Lineage: Eukaryota
Description: partial 18S ribosomal RNA
Rfam family: Eukaryotic small subunit ribosomal RNA
Source: RNAcentral